CAGUCGCCGCGGUAAUACGAAGGGGGCUAGCGUUGUUCGGAUUUACUGGGCGUAAAGCGCACGUAGGCGGACUUUUAAGUCAGGGGUGAAAUCCCGGGGCUCAACCCCGGAACUGCCUUUGAUACUGGAAGUCUUGAGUAUGGUAGAGGUGAGUGGAAUUCCGAGUGUAGAGGUGAAAUUCGUAGAUAUUCGGAGGAACACCAGUGGCGAAGGCGGCUCACUGGACCAUUACUGACGCUGAGGUGCGAAAGCGUGGGGAGCAAACAGGAUUAGAUACCCCAGUAGUCCCUGUCUCUUAUAU
RNAcentral lists this ribosomal RNA (301 nucleotides) under uncultured bacterium. RNAcentral describes it as "partial 16S ribosomal RNA". It matches the Rfam family "Bacterial small subunit ribosomal RNA", at positions 509 to 809 of the family's 1533-position model. The record is from RNAcentral.